This 356-nucleotide ribosomal RNA is filed under the name uncultured bacterium. RNAcentral describes it as "partial 16S ribosomal RNA". It matches the Rfam family "Bacterial small subunit ribosomal RNA", at positions 338 to 691 of the family's 1533-position model. The record is from RNAcentral.
CCUACGUGGUGCUGCGGUGAGGAAUAUUGGUCAAUGGGCGCGAGCCUGAACCAGCCAAGUAGCGUGAAGGAUGACUGCCCUACGGUUUGUAAACUUCUUGUAUAAAGGAAUAAAGUGAGGCACGUGUGCCUUUUUGUAUGUACUUUAUGAAUAAGGAUCGGCUAACUCCGUGCCAGCAGCCGCGGUAAUACGGAGGAUCCGAGCGUUAUCCGGAUUUAUUGGGUCUAAAGGGAGCGUAGAUGGGUUGUUAAGUCAGUUGUGAAAGUUUGCGGCUCAACCGGAAAAUUGCAAUUGAUACUGGCAGCCGUGAGUACAGUUGAGGUAGGCGGAAUUCGUGGUGUAGCGGUGAAAUGCUU